RNAcentral lists this ribosomal RNA (405 nucleotides) under uncultured bacterium. RNAcentral's name for it is "partial 16S ribosomal RNA". It matches the Rfam family "Bacterial small subunit ribosomal RNA", at positions 28 to 526 of the family's 1533-position model. The record is from RNAcentral.
GACGAACGCUGGCGGCGUGCCUAAUACAUGCAAGUAGAACAGUUUCGAACGGGUGAGUAAAGCGUAGGAACAUGCCCAUAACUAAGGGAUAACCCAGCGAAAGUUGGACUAAUACCUUAUGGUUAUGGAUGGGGAUGCGUCUGUUUAGCUUGUUGGCGGGGUAACGGCCCACCAAGGCAACGAUCAGUAGGGGUUCUGAGAGGAUGAUCAGCCACACUGGAACUGAGACACGGUCCAGACUCCUACGGGAGGCAGCAGUGGGGAAUAUUGCACAAUGGGGGAAACCCUGAUGCAGCCAUGCCGCGUGUGUGAAGAAGGCCUUCGGGUUGUAAAGCACUUUCAGCGGGGAGGCGUUACUCGCAGAAGAAGCACCGGCUAACUCCGUGCCAGCAGCCGCGGUAAUAC